GAUGAACGCUGGCGGCGUGCCUAAUACAUGCAAGUCGAGCGAACGGACGGGAAGCUUGCUUCUCUGAUGUUAGCGGCGGACGGGUGAGUAACACGUGGAUAACCUACCUAUAAGACUGGGAUAACUUCGGGAAACCGGAGCUAAUACCGGAUGAUAUUUUGAACCGCAUGGUUCAAAAGUGAAAGACGGUCUUGCUGUCACUUAUAGAUGGAUCCGCGCUGCAUUAGCUAGUUGGUAAGGUAACGGCUUACCAAGGCAACGAUGCAUAGCCGACUUGAGAGGGUGAUCGGCCACACUGGAACUGAGACACGGUCCAGACUCCUACGGGAGGCAGCAGUGGGGAAUCUUCCGCAAUGGGCGAAAGCCUGACGGAGCAACGCCGCGUGAGUGAUGAAGGUCUUCGGAUCGUAAAACUCUGUUAUUAGGGAAGAACAUAUGUGUAAGUAACUGUGCACAUCUUGACGGUACCUAAUCAGAAAGCCACGGCUAACUACGUG
Molecule: ribosomal RNA, 497 nt
Filed under: uncultured bacterium
Lineage: Bacteria
Description: partial 16S ribosomal RNA
Rfam family: Bacterial small subunit ribosomal RNA
Source: RNAcentral